UUUUGAAGGCAAAUCCGGCUGCGUCACUUCCAGCCUGGUGGGACGGGGGAGAAGGUCCGCGCAGCCGGACCGACAAAGAGUUGGUGUCUCUUUGAGCGUUAUGACUAAAAGCGAAGAGCUGGUUUGGUUUUAAAUGUCAACAGCGGGGGAAAAAAAAAAAAAUUAACAAGGCGGCGAGAAAAGAGCGGCUGCAUUGGCCGGGAAUCGAACCCGGGCCUCCCGCGUGGCAGGCGAGAAUUCUACCACUGAACCACCAAUGCUUCUGCCGAUAAAACUGUUUACUUCCGCAACUCGAAGGUGAUAAAUGCGAAUUUCUUUGUCCCAUUGCACUCGCCUAGAAUUCCGUCCUGAUGAUCGAACGCGUUUCUUUGGCUAUUUCUUUUCCGUAACAAAUGUGAGUUAUGCCAAGUGAAUAGUAAGCACCCACUUUUAUCUACGUGUUCUUUGCUUGUGACUUGUCUGCACCUCUUCAAGCUUUCAUAGAUGGUGUUGUUCUGGGGAAGAAAACGUGUCUGAGCGUGCUAAGGAAAACCUGCAGCCGAGCGGAGUCAGACCAGGAAACUGCCCUUAAUGGUGUCUGUGCCAGGAAUGGAGGCUGCCCCACCAGCAUCUCAAAGAGAAUUACUCCAACACUCCACCAGUCACACAACUGUGUGUAACCUGAAAUAAAGUUCAAACAAGUAUCACAUCCUGGGGAGAAGAGAAGCAGGACACCUGAGUAGCAGCCACUCUGCAGUGAGACUGCAGCACAAAAGCACACUGGUUACCUGUCCGUAACAACACUUCAGGUGCAAUGUAGUUGGGAGUGCCCAC
This is a long non-coding RNA of Melospiza melodia melodia, 813 nucleotides long. RefSeq lists it as uncharacterized. Lineage: Eukaryota; Metazoa; Chordata; Aves; Passeriformes; Passerellidae. The record is from RefSeq and is a predicted model, not a curated record. The transcript has 3 exons.